This 526-nucleotide long non-coding RNA is filed under the name Ananas comosus (pineapple). RNAcentral describes it as "long non-coding RNA (ACOM_LNC027150)". The record is from RNAcentral. Lineage: Eukaryota; Viridiplantae; Streptophyta; Magnoliopsida; Poales; Bromeliaceae.
AAGGGCAAUUGUUUAUAUACUUCCGAAAAGUUUUCGACUUUCUGAUUUACCCCUCUUAGAAGGCUAAUAUUGAAAAUGCCUCUUUUACAUUCCAACUUAUUUCAAAUAUGUCUCUAGAGUUAAAAUUUGUUAAUAAACUCUGUUAUCGCUAUAAAAUUACUAUUUUACCCUUUCAAAUAUACCAUUCUUUUAUCACCGACUUUUCUUAUUUACCCUUAAUUUAGAGACACAAAAAGUAUUUUGCUUUUUGGUCUUUUCAAAUAUACCCUUCUACCUAGGGGUGGUAAUCCAGCUCGUCGUUCGCGAGCCAACUCGUAUUCGACUCGAAAUGAGCUCGAGAUUGAAUCGCUCGUUUAAUAAAUGAGCCGAGCACGAGCUGAAAUUUUCAGCUCGUUUAAUAAACGAGCCGAACACAAGCUAGGGUCAGCUCGCUCGUGUUCGGCUCGAUACCAGCUCGAAUACAUAUAUUUUAUAUUUAUAUAUAUAAAUUAAUAAUUAUAUAUGUAUAUAAUACAAAUUUUUAUUA